RNAcentral lists this ribosomal RNA (180 nucleotides) under uncultured Glomeromycotina. RNAcentral's name for it is "partial small subunit ribosomal RNA". The stretch from base 90 to 180 matches the Rfam family "Eukaryotic small subunit ribosomal RNA", at positions 735 to 825 of the family's 1831-position model. The record is from RNAcentral. Lineage: Eukaryota; Fungi; Glomeromycota.
GACCUGGCUGGGUGGUCUUGCCGCAAGGUAAGCACUGCUCCGAUCGGGUCUUUCCUUCUGGGGAACCAGCGUGCUCUUAAUUGGGUGCGUUGGGGAUCCAGGACUUUUACUUUGAAAAAAUUAGAGUGUUUAAAGCAGGCAAUUUUCGCUUGAAUACAUUAGCAUGGAAUAAUAGAAUAG